GAAAUUUCACUUCACAGUUUUCCUCAUAACUCCUAACACCUGUGAAUUUGUCAGGGAAAUGAACUAAUUUCUUAGGUUGAGAUUCUAUUUGUAAAUUGAGAGACUAGGCUCAUGCCAUAUCCACAAGGUCUGCACAACUUUCAGUUAUGGCUGCUUUCUCAAACAGGAUGAUGAUUUGGACCUCAGAAUACAGCUGCCUGACAGAGGUUUCCUCUACUUCCUUCUGCUUCAGCUGCAAUAGGUCCUUAUCUAAGAAGUACACUGCUUAUGAAUAUGCAAAUCAUGUGAGAUUUUGGUGGUAAAAGCAGGGAUGUCUACACCUCCUACAACAUAUGAUCAGUGUCCUCUCCACAGUCACUGAACACUCAGGUCCUCACCAUGGGAGGGAGCUGGAUCAUCUUCUUCCUGGUAGCAACAGCUACAAGUGUUCACUCCCAGGUCCAGCUACAGCAGUCUCUGGCUGAGUUGAUGAAGCCUGGAGUCUCAGUGAAGUUGUCCUGCAAGACAUCAGGCUACAACUUCACUAGCUAUAAUAUGGACUGGGUGAAACAGAAGCCUGGGCAGGGCCUGGAGUGGAUUGGAAGUAUUUAUCCUUAUCCUGGAAAUAGUGGUACUAGCUACAAUCAAAAGUUCCAGUGCAAGGCCACACUGACUGCAGACAAAUCCUUCAGCACAGCCUACAUGGAGCUCAGCAGCCUGACAUCUGAGGACAAUGCAGUCUAUUAUUGUUCAAGAGACACAGUGUUGCAACAACAGGCUGAGUGUGUGAAAAACGUUGGAGGAGCAGGAAGCUGUCCUGGAACCGAGAUGAUAGAGAGGAUCAGCCUGGGGACUUACUCAGAAAUAACCAUUCCUAGUGUCUCUUUGUCUUCCUCAUCCUUGUGUCCCUAUCUCUUUUAAUUCUAACUUUCAUGAUAAUAACUUUGAAUGAAGUGAUGUGAAUUGUGUUUAAUCCUAUAAUGCAUUGUAUCUUGAUAAUAUCUCCACAGUGACCACCCACAUUGACAUGUUUUUCCCUUAAUAAAGCAAUGCACAUUGGAAAA
Molecule: non-coding RNA, 1043 nt
Organism: Mesocricetus auratus (golden hamster)
Lineage: Eukaryota; Metazoa; Chordata; Mammalia; Rodentia; Cricetidae
Source: the annotation of a RefSeq genome assembly